CUUAGAUGCCAAUAUGGAUUUGCU
This 24-nucleotide non-coding RNA is filed under the name Arabidopsis thaliana (thale cress). Lineage: Eukaryota; Viridiplantae; Streptophyta; Magnoliopsida; Brassicales; Brassicaceae. The record is from RNAcentral.